CGCGUAUGCAACCUACCCAUAACUGGAGGAUAGCCCAGAGAAAUUUGGAUUAAUACUCCAUAGUAUUGUUGAACGGCAUCGUUUAAUAAUUAAAGAAUUUUGGUUAUGGAUGGGCAUGCGUUAGAUUAGCUAGUUGGUAAGGUAACGGCUUACCAAGGCAACGAUCUAUAGCGGGUCUGAGAGGAUGAUCCGCCACACUGGAACUGAGACACGGUCCAGACUCCUACGGGAGGCAGCAGUAGGGAAUAUUGGGCAAUGGAGGCAACUCUGACCCAGCCAUGCCGCGUGAGGGAAGACGGC
This 300-nucleotide ribosomal RNA is filed under the name uncultured bacterium. Its description in RNAcentral is "bacterial SSU rRNA". It matches the Rfam family "Bacterial small subunit ribosomal RNA", at positions 114 to 415 of the family's 1533-position model. The record is from RNAcentral.